UACGUAGGGUGCAAGCGUUGUCCGGAAUUAUUGGGCGUAAAGAGCUCGUAGGCGGUCUGUCGCGUCGGCUGUGAAAUCCCGAGGCUCAACCUCGGGUCUGCAGUCGAUACGGGCAAACUAGAGUAUUGCAGGGGAGACUGGAAUUCCUGGUGUAGCGGUGGAAUGCGCGGAUAUCAGGAGGAACACCGAUGGCGAAGGCAGGUCUCUGGGCCGCAACUGACGCUGAGGAGCGAAAGCAUGGGGAGCGAACAGG
Molecule: ribosomal RNA, 253 nt
Filed under: uncultured bacterium
Lineage: Bacteria
Description: partial 16S ribosomal RNA
Rfam family: Bacterial small subunit ribosomal RNA
Source: RNAcentral